UCCUACGGGGGGCAGCAGUGGGGAAUAUUGGACAAUGGGGGGAACCCUGAUCCAGCGACGCCGCGUGAGUGAAGAAGUAUUUCGGUACGUAAAGCUCUAUCAGCAGGAAAGAAAAUGACGGUACCUGACUAAGAAGCCCCGGCUAACUACGUGCCAGCAGCCGCGGUAAUACGUAGGGGGCAAGCGUUAUCCGGAUUUAUUGGGUUUAAAGGGUGCGCAGGCGGAGGUGCAAGUCAGCGGUCAAAUUGCGGGGCUCAACCCCGUACUGCCGUUGAAACUGCAUCCCUUGAGUGCGCGAGAAGUAU
RNAcentral lists this ribosomal RNA (305 nucleotides) under uncultured bacterium. Its description in RNAcentral is "bacterial SSU rRNA". It matches the Rfam family "Bacterial small subunit ribosomal RNA", at positions 337 to 660 of the family's 1533-position model. The record is from RNAcentral.